AACCAAAAGAUUAAGUUAUAUAGAUAGGUUAAAAGACAGUUAGGUGUAGAAAAAAGCUUGAUAACUUUCUAUAAAAAGGUAAAAUUUGAAUAUAAAUAAAGUAAUUUUUUUUAAGCUAAGAUACUGAAGCUGUGAUAAUUUUGAGGGAAACUGGGAUUAGAUACCCCAUUAUUCAUAAUUGUAAAUUAAUGUAAAUUUACCAGAGUACUAUGAAUAUUUAUAAAAUUUAAAACUCAAAGGGCUUGGCGGUGUUUUAGACCAAUUAGGGGAACCUGUCUCAUAAUCGACAAUCCACGUGAUAUCUAACCUUUUUUAGUAAUCAGUUUGUAUACCGUCGUCGUCAGGUAACUUUUAAAAAUUUAGGAGUUGGCGGUAAUAAUUUUUGUUAAUUAAGACGUCAGAUCAAGGUGCAGCUUAUAAAAAGGAGAGGAUGGGUUACAAUUAUAAAAUCAUAAUAACGGAUAGUUUAAUGAAAAAAGCUUUAAGGAGGACUUAAAAGUAAUAUUGUAAUAUAUAAAUAAUUUGAAUUAGGCUCUGAAACGUGC
RNAcentral lists this ribosomal RNA (545 nucleotides) under Columbella major. Its description in RNAcentral is "partial small subunit ribosomal RNA". The record is from RNAcentral. Lineage: Eukaryota; Metazoa; Mollusca; Gastropoda; Neogastropoda; Columbellidae.